Molecule: long non-coding RNA, 2662 nt
Organism: Peromyscus leucopus (white-footed mouse)
Lineage: Eukaryota; Metazoa; Chordata; Mammalia; Rodentia; Cricetidae
Exons: 2
Source: RefSeq, a predicted model, not a curated record
ACACACACACACACACACACACACACACACACAGAAUAGGCCAGCCCACAGUGCUGUAAAAACAGCUAGGUAAACACCUAUGGGACAUACAGGGAGUAGAAAAGGCCAUGUUAUAGGGGUAGCAAUACCAGAACAGAACUGGGCCAGGAGAGCGUUGUGGAAGCCGGGAUGAUGGUUUUCGCCUCAAGGGAAAGACAGCAUGCUGUGUCUAGAGACAUUCAGCCCAGACCCCCUUACUAAGUGAGUCUGCGUCAGCCGAACAUGUUCAUUGGAUGCCUGGAGUCCCUGUCUGUGCUGCAGGACUGGCUAGGGUGGACCUGCAUGUGGGAAUAGGGACGCUCCAAGACUGGAGUCUCUCUAGCCAUUUGAGCUACAUCUUUCCUGCCCCCACCAGGCUGCACUUGCUCCUCCUAGGAUACUGAGACUCUGAUGAACCAGUUAACAUGCCAGGCAGAGUGGCAUGUGGGGUAGCCUGUCCUCGAAGGGAAGCAGAUGAAGCCCUUGUUGUUAUCUCUGGUUUUGUCUCUAUACCACAGCUGCCGUGGGACUCCUUCCUGCCCCCAGUGAACUUCCUGCUAGAAGGCAGCAUCCGUGCUUGGAACUGGGGUCAGUGAUGAGUGAGUCAUCUGUGUCCUUGUCUUCUGGAGGCCCGGGCAUUCUAGACUGGCCUCUGCCCGUGGUGACUCACAGAUGCCUCUGGAAGGGCAUGGCUGUGAGCUGUCAUCAGCCCCCGGGACAGGAUGCUAGGAGUGGCCCUCUGCCUAAAACCCACAGGGUCAGAUGGGUUCUCUGCAGUCUGUGCACCCUGAAGGGAAAUCUCUGCCAGUUCCCAAACCCAGGAGAAAGACCGGAGGAACGCACCAUGGGAAGGUACCAGAGUGAACGAUUGCAUCCCACCAUCAACCUCAACGCGGAAGAAGGAACCCUGCCUUAGAGAGUGAAGAGGUCCUGGGGAGGAGACAAGGUCUGCAGACUUGAUCACUGGCCCUUCCCACCUCCCUCUGAGUCUUUACUGUUCUGACACCCAGGGCCAUAACAAAUACUUCUCCUGCCUCACCUGGCUCCCAGGUCUCCACUUCUGUGUUGCUUCCCUGCCCCUCCUGGGGGUGGGGGUGUUUCUACCUUUGCCCUGUAGCAGCAGUACUUACUGGCCCCGCCCCCAGCCCACCAAAGCUGGAUAGCCUGCUCAUGCUACAAGUUCACCCACACUUCUGCGUAGGACUUAACACACUCCCCAUAACUAUUGUACGGACUUGGUUUUCACUUCCUCUCUCUCCAGAACCCAACAGGGCACUCAGCGCACAGCAGAUUUACCAUCCCUUCCCCAAACCUUUUGCCAACUUGAAAUAACUUCAAAGGAUGGGCAGGGAAGCCCAAGAGGUAAACUUCACGAGGAUAGCGUCAAUCAUGUGUCCAUCAUGGCUAGCAGCGUCAUCCAUGUGUGUGUGUAUAUAUAUAUAUAUAUAUAUGCUGGUUUGUCUCUAAAAGUCACAAGGGUGUGCACUGCUGAAGUGAUCCCACACAACAGGGAAAUAUGCAAGUCUGCCUUUAUCCACAUGUAUUCUGACACUCACUAGUUCCUUAUUAUGACACGAUUUUUGGACCGAUAUUUUGUGCCCCAAGCCAAAUCAAACAGCUGUCAAUGUGUCAACAACACAAACUAAGAGCCCAGUGAGAGCUGACAGCUAAGCUGGGUGCAGACCUCUACACUUGGAAACCGGGACGACAGAAGGAGCCACCGUUUAUACACGGAUGGGGAGGGGGUGCCACUCAAGGAUCAUGUCUGUCUUCACACUCAGCAUGUGGGCAGCAGGCCGACACCUGUCUGUGCGGUGCCCCUAGUCACUGCAGGAUCCCAACAGCAAGAACACAGAGACAUUGCCAUCUAACUUUUAUAUGAAGAAUUUAAUCAUCUAUACACAUAACUAGUCCAAAAGGUCGUAUUACAAUUGUUAAAGCCGCAGGUUUAUAUAUUUAUAUAUUUUACAUUCACAUCCACACAAACACCGGAGCGCAAGUAGACGAGGAGGGGCCGCCCUGUCCUUUGCACCAUGUGAGGGAGAAGGACCGGGACACAACUGUCAGCCAGGCGUCGCCCCAGGGGGAACCCCGAGGGACGUCAGUUAACUUAUGACCGGGUUUCCUGUGCUGUCAGCAGUGGGCAGUUUCUCUUUUUCGUUUUUAUUGAGAGAUUCCAACUAAUGUCUAAAGACAGACGUGGCUUAGCUACAGCAGUUAACACACACGUGGACCAGGAGCCGCUUCGUAUCGCUCUCCACAGUCUAGUUAAAAAUGUAAACACUGGAAAUGAAUUGCAGGGAGACUUCUAUACAUUCUUUCUUGUCAAGAAAAUUACUUGUUCAAAAUAUUCCAUGAAAAGCAACUGGAAUAAAACUUCAUGUAACAGAGACUAAGAUUGUAGAUACUGUUGAUCAUAACCACCUUGGUGGUGGUGUCUUACUGAUUUAUGGUAUGAAAAUACGCCAAAUUAAAAACUCAAAACAGAACACCAACCAACUAGAUAAAUCUGAGACCAAACGGAAACACAGGUAUUUUCUCAUGUGGCUACACAGUCACUGUGCAAAAUAAAAUCAAUGCAGUAGAUGAGAGCAUUGUACACGGUGGUAGCGUUUGCCAUGGGAAGAGCUACUUCUUCAGUACA